RNAcentral lists this ribosomal RNA (253 nucleotides) under uncultured bacterium. RNAcentral's name for it is "partial 16S ribosomal RNA". It matches the Rfam family "Bacterial small subunit ribosomal RNA", at positions 524 to 776 of the family's 1533-position model. The record is from RNAcentral.
UACAGAGGGGGCAAGCGUUGUUCGGAAUUACUGGGCGGAAAGGGCGCGUAGGCGGCCUUCUAAGUCGAACGUGAAAUCCCCGGGCUCAACCCGGGAACUGCGUCCGAUACUGGAAGGCUUGAAUCCGGGAGAGGGAUGCGGAAUUCCAGGUGUAGCGGUGAAAUGCGUAGAUAUCUGGAGGAACACCGGUGGCGAAGGCGGCAUCCUGGACCAACACUGACGCUGAGGAGCGAAAGCCAGGGGAGCAAACGGG